UACAGAGGCCUCAAGCGUUGUUCGGAAUUACUGGGCGUAAAGGGUACGUAGGUGGUUUGGCAAGUCAGAUGUGAAAGCCCUGGGCUUAACCCAGGAAGUGCAUUUGAUACUGCUUAACUAGAGUGCGAAACAGGAAAGUGGAAUUCCCGGUGUAGGGGUGAAAUCCGUAGAUAUCGGGAGGAAUACCAAUGGAGAAGUCAGCUUUCUGGUUCGUAACUGACGCUGAGGUACGAAAGCGUGGGGAUCACACAGG
Molecule: ribosomal RNA, 253 nt
Filed under: uncultured bacterium
Lineage: Bacteria
Description: partial 16S ribosomal RNA
Rfam family: Bacterial small subunit ribosomal RNA
Source: RNAcentral